This 505-nucleotide ribosomal RNA is filed under the name uncultured bacterium. RNAcentral describes it as "partial 16S ribosomal RNA". It matches the Rfam family "Bacterial small subunit ribosomal RNA", at positions 28 to 507 of the family's 1533-position model. The record is from RNAcentral.
GACGAACGCUGGCGGCGUGCUUAACACAUGCAAGUCGAACGGUGAAGCGCUUGCCUUUUUGGUGGGUGUGGAUGAGUGGCGAACGGGUGAGUAACACGUGAGUAACCUGCCCUCUUCUUCUGGAUAACCUCAUGAAAGUGGGGCUAAUACGGGGUAUUCCGGGUCUGUCGCAUGGCGGGUUUGGGAAAGAUUGCGCCUUUGGGUGUUUUCGGUGGGGGAUGGGCUCGCGGCCUAUCAGCUUGUUGGUGGGGUGAUGGCCUACCAAGGCGGUGACGGGUAGCCGGCCUGAGAGGGUGGCCGGCCACACUGGGACUGAGACACGGCCCAGACUCCUGCGGGAGGCAGCAGUGGGGAAUAUUGCACAAUGGGCGCAAGCCUGAUGCAGCGACGCCGCGUGAGGGAUGGAGGCCUUAGGGUUGUGAACCUCUUUCGCCAGUGAAGCAGGCCUGCCUCGUUUGUGGGUGGGUUGACGGUAGCUGGAUAAGAAGCGCCGGCUAACUACGUG